This 428-nucleotide ribosomal RNA is filed under the name Bacteroidota bacterium. Its description in RNAcentral is "Bacteroidetes bacterium partial 16S ribosomal RNA". It matches the Rfam family "Bacterial small subunit ribosomal RNA", at positions 355 to 776 of the family's 1533-position model. Lineage: Bacteria; Pseudomonadati; Bacteroidota. The record is from RNAcentral.
UAGGGAAUCUUCCGCAAUGGACGCAAGUCUGACGGAGCAACGCCGCGUGAGUGAAGAAGGAUUUCGGUUCGUAAAACUCUGUUGUUAGAGAAGAACAGCGCAUAGAGUAACUGUUAUGCGUGUGACGGUAUCUAACCAGAAAGCCACGGCUAACUACGUGCCAGCCGCCGCGGUAAUACGUAGGUCCCGAGCGUUGUCCGGAUUUAUUGGGCGUAAAGCGAGCGCAGGCGGUUAGAUAAGUCUGAAGUUAAAGGCAGUGGCUCAACCAGUGUAGGCUUUGGAAACUGUUUGACUUGAGUGGAGAAGGGGAGAGUGGAAUUCCAUGUGUAGGGGUGAAAUGGAUAAGUAUAUGGGGAAACACCGGUGGCGAAAGCGGCUCUCGGGACUGUAACUGACGCUGAGGCUCGAAAGCGUGGGGAGCGAACAGG